GGAAUUGGUCAAGUCCGGAGAGAGGGCGGGGCCUUGGCGCGCGCGGGAGCCGGGAGUGGGGUCCCCCGGGCUUUCUCUCUUAGCCCCGCCUCCUUCCCGGCUCCAGCUGGGGCCGGCGAGCCUGAGUGGUGGCUACGCUGCUCGCUGGCCUCUCACUCUUCCCAGCAACCGGUGACACUGCCCGCGCGAGACUGACCACUAGCCGGCGCGGGCGAGAGGGACAGGAGCGUGACCUCCCCAUCCCGAGGGGCCGGACGCUCGGGCGCCUUCCCGCUCCCCCAACUCGGAGGCCGCGCGCGCCGUUACCCCCUUCCUCGCUCCCCCGCCCCAGUCCCGCAAUCCGGGAGGCGGGGGUCGGCAGCCGGCUGAGUGGGAACCGCGCGGUGUCUGAGGAGCCAGUCGGCGACCGGUUUCUACUUCAAGCGUGAUCCCCUUGCUUGUGGGAUGAGCUCCAGCAUGGGGUGAGGUACAGAAGAGAGACUCGAAGAGCCUGCCUUGGGACUUAAGCGCCAAACCUGCACCCUAGCAAGUGUCUUACUCCACAUCCGUAAUGGAAGGAAAUGAUGUCUGGAAUUUAAAAUACUCUAGAGCUUCUCUCAACCAAAAAAAAAAAAAAAACGUGGAGUCGUGGUGUGGAUGAAACAAGAAUGGUAAAAUGCACAUCCUACUCCAGAGGCACAAGAGGAGGACAUCCCAUGCUGGCUACUCCUGCCCAGCGUGGUGGGGGAGCAGAAGCUCCAGAGCCCAGACUUGCAGGCUCACGGUGCAGGGUGAACCUGGCCACAGCUCACCUCUGGAACAGCCGCAGUGUCUGCCCUUAGAGAAGAACCCUGAAAUCAGACCAGUUUUUGCGGCCUCCCCCUUUCCUCUCUGUUACAGUGCCCUUUCCAGGCCUUAAGAGAAGUAAAACUUAGCCACAGCGUCAGGAGGUGGACGUGGACCCCCGAAUGUGAGUGGCACGGUUC
RNAcentral lists this long non-coding RNA (965 nucleotides) under Piliocolobus tephrosceles (Ugandan red Colobus). RNAcentral describes it as "lncRNA (ENSPTEG00000013791.1)". Lineage: Eukaryota; Metazoa; Chordata; Mammalia; Primates; Cercopithecidae. The record is from RNAcentral.